GAUGAACGCUAGCGGCAGGCUUAACACAUGCAAGUCGAGGGGCAGCAUAAUGGAUAGCAAUAUCUAUGGUGGCUACCGGCGCACGGGUGCGUAACGCGUAUGCAACCUACCUUUAACAGGGGGAUAACACUGAGAAAUUGGUACUAAUACCCCAUAAUAUCAUAGAAGGCAUCUUUUAUGGUUGAAAAUUCCGAUGGUUAGAGAUGGGCAUGCGUUGUAUUAGCUAGUUGGUGGGGUAACGGCUCACCAAGGCGACGAUACAUAGGGGGACUGAGAGGUUAACCCCCCACACUGGUACUGAGACACGGACCAGACUCCUACGGGAGGCAGCAGUGAGGAAUAUUGGUCAAUGGACGCAAGUCUGAACCAGCCAUGCCGCGUGCAGGAUGACGGCUCUAUGAGUUGUAAACUGCUUUUGUACGAGGGUAAACGCAGAUACGUGUAUCUGUCUGAAAGUAUCGUACGAAUAAGGAUCGGCUAACUCCGUG
Molecule: ribosomal RNA, 488 nt
Filed under: uncultured bacterium
Lineage: Bacteria
Description: partial 16S ribosomal RNA
Rfam family: Bacterial small subunit ribosomal RNA
Source: RNAcentral